AGUGAACGCUGGCGGUAGGCCUAACACAUGCAAGUCGAACGGCAGCACAGUAAGAGCUUGCUCUUACGGGUGGCGAGUGGCGGACGGGUGAGGAAUACAUCGGAAUCUACUUUUUCGUGGGGGAUAACGUAGGGAAACUUACGCUAAUACCGCAUACGACCUACGGGUGAAAGCAGGGGAUCUUCGGACCUUGCGCGAUUGAAUGAGCCGAUGUCGGAUUAGCUAGUUGGCGGGGUAAAGGCCCACCAAGGCGACGAUCCGUAGCUGGUCUGAGGGGAUGAUCAGCCACACUGGAACUGAGAACCGGCCCAGACCCCUACGGGGGGCAGCGGUGGGGAAUAUUGGAAAAUGGGCGAAAGCCUGAUCCAGCCAUGCCGGGUGGGUGAAGAAGGCCUUCGGGUUGUAAAGCCCUUUUGUUGGGAAAAAAAAGCAGCAGGUUAAUACCCCGCUGUUCUGACGGUACCCAAAGAAUAAGCACCGGCUAAUUUCGU
RNAcentral lists this ribosomal RNA (491 nucleotides) under uncultured bacterium. RNAcentral's name for it is "partial 16S ribosomal RNA". It matches the Rfam family "Bacterial small subunit ribosomal RNA", at positions 29 to 506 of the family's 1533-position model. The record is from RNAcentral.